This 253-nucleotide ribosomal RNA is filed under the name uncultured bacterium. RNAcentral's name for it is "partial 16S ribosomal RNA". It matches the Rfam family "Bacterial small subunit ribosomal RNA", at positions 524 to 776 of the family's 1533-position model. The record is from RNAcentral.
UACGUAGGUGGCAAGCGUUGUCCGGAUUUACGGGGCGUAAAGAGCGCGCAGGCGGUCGUUCAAGUCGCGUGUGAAAGCCCCCGGCUCAACUGGGGAGGGUCACGCGAUACUGAUCGACUCGAAGGCAGGAGAGGGUAGUGGAAUUCCCGGUGUAGUGGUGAAAUGCGUAGAUAUCGGGAGGAACACCAGUGGCGAAGGCGACUACCUGGCCUGUUCUUGACGCUGAGGCGCGAAAGCUAGGGGAGCAAACGGG